Molecule: long non-coding RNA, 693 nt
Organism: Aethina tumida (small hive beetle)
Lineage: Eukaryota; Metazoa; Arthropoda; Insecta; Coleoptera; Nitidulidae
Exons: 3
Source: RefSeq, a predicted model, not a curated record
GUUUUAUCUCAACAGUAAAACAGUCAACACCCAUCCAAAAUGAUGAAAUACUUGAUCUUCGUUUUCGUAGCCUUGAUGGCCCUCGUAGCUACCGCUUUGGCCGAGCCAGAACCACAACCAUCUGGAAUCAUUGGUGCCGGAGUUUUGGCACCAGCCGUUGCUGUUGGUGGCUGGGGACUUGGACAUGGAGUUGUUCAUGGUUAAACAACAAGAAAUAUAAUUACAAUUACAAAAUUUCUAUAAAUUCCGAUUGUUUUCCGUAUUACAGACCAAUAAAUCAUUGAUAAAAUUACAUGUUUUGUUGUGAGUCAAUGUUAUAACGUUUAUACAAUUCAUGAUUUGUUGUUCUUAGUGAUGAAGUGAUACGUGGAAGAAAUUUGAUAGUUUGAAGACAUAAGUAAUAUAUCUAGUUGCCGCAGGUGAUUAUUUACUAUAAAUAUGAAACGAACUUGACUUUCAAUAUCAGUUUUGUGCGAAAUGUUAAAAAUACUGAUUUUACUUAUUUUUGUUUGUAUGGCUGUACUAACUUGUCAUGCUGGUGUUAUUGUUGCACCAGGUUUGGUGGCUACAGGAGUUUUAGCACCAUUAAGAACAGUUGCUUAUGGGGUACCAGUUGGUCUUGGUCAUGGAUAUAUUGGUUAAACAACAAUAUAUUCAUCCUUUUACUAAAUAAUAAAAUAGAAAUAAAAAGGA